This is a long non-coding RNA of Pecten maximus, 738 nucleotides long. RefSeq lists it as uncharacterized. The transcript is spliced from 3 exons. NCBI's taxonomy places the organism in Eukaryota, Metazoa, Mollusca, Bivalvia, Pectinida, Pectinidae. The record is from RefSeq and is a predicted model, not a curated record.
GGAGGUGUCUGGAUUGUCUACUGGGAAUGGAGGUGUCUGGAUUGUCUACUGGGAAUGAAGGUGUCUGGAUUGUCGACUGGGAAUGGAGGUGUCUGGAUUGUCUACUGGGAAUGGAUCCGGAGGUGUCUGGAUUGUCUACUGGGAAUGGAGGUGUCUGGAUUGUCUACUGGAAAUGGAGGUGUCUGGAUUGUCUACUGGGAAUGGAGGUGUCUGGAUUGUCUACUGGGAAUGGAGGUGUCUGGAUUGUCUACUGGGAAUGAAGGUGUCUGGAUAGUCUACUGGGAAUGGAGGUGUCUGGAUUGUCUACUGGGAAUGGAUCCGGAGGUGUCUGGAUUGUCUACUGGGAAUGGAUUCGGAGGUGUCUGGAUUGUCUACUGGGAAUGGAGGUGUCUGGAUUGUCUACUGGGAAUGAAGGUGUCUGGAUUGUCUACUUGGAAUGAAGAUUGUUUACUGGGUAUAAUUAAUAAGUUGUCUGAAUUAUCUACGGGGAAUGAAGGUGGCUGGAUUAUCAACUUGGGAUCUUGGUGCCCACCAAUGAAUUAUCUUUAUUGGUUUUAUAUAUAUAUAUAUAUAUAUAUAUGGAAGAUUGAUCUUUUCUCUAUUUUUCCCUUCUUUCCCCCCUUCCUCUUGUUCAUUUGAUAGCAAGAGGAUCAUAUGUAUGAAAUCUAAGAAAGAUCAAAUUAACUGAGAAUUUAGGAAUAACAAAUUUCAUCUGCAAAAAUACCCUAGAUGGCUGCA